This 484-nucleotide ribosomal RNA is filed under the name uncultured bacterium. Its description in RNAcentral is "partial 16S ribosomal RNA". It matches the Rfam family "Bacterial small subunit ribosomal RNA", at positions 30 to 507 of the family's 1533-position model. The record is from RNAcentral.
AUUGAACGCUGGCGGCAGGCCUAACACAUGCAAGUCGAGCGGAUGAAGGGAGCUUGCUCCUGGAUUCAGCGGCGGACGGGUGAGUAAUGCCUAGGAAUCUGCCUGGUAGUGGGGGAUAACGUCCGGAAACGGGCGCUAAUACCGCAUACGUCCUGAGGGAGAAAGUGGGGGAUCUUCGGACCUCACGCUAUCAGAUGAGCCUAGGUCGGAUUAGCUAGUUGCUGGGGUAAAGGCCUACCAAGGCGACGAUCCGUAACUGGUCUGAGAGGAUGAUCAGUCACACUGGAACUGAGACACGGUCCAGACUCCUACGGGAGGCAGCAGUGGGGAAUAUUGGACAAUGGGCGAAAGCCUGAUCCAGCCAUGCCGCGUGUGUGAAGAAGGUCUUCGGAUUGUAAAGCACUUUAAGUUGGGAGGAAGGGCAGUAAGUUAAUACCUUGCUGUUUUGACGUUACCAACAGAAUAAGCACCGGCUAACUUCGUG